Molecule: non-coding RNA, 2420 nt
Organism: Lactuca sativa (garden lettuce)
Lineage: Eukaryota; Viridiplantae; Streptophyta; Magnoliopsida; Asterales; Asteraceae
Source: RefSeq, a predicted model, not a curated record
UAUUUUUUUAGGGGGUGUUACGUGGUGUUUGCGUAGAAAAGAACCACUUGCUACGUGUUUUGAUUUUAAUAUCAUUGCGUAGAAAAGAGCCACCUACUCACCGCCUCUUUCUCUUCCCCACCGCCUCCGGUAUCUUUCACUAUCUUUGUCGGUCUCUUUUUUGCCUCCUCUCAAACGACGAACAGCUCCUUCCUUCUUCCUCCUUCCACACAGUACAUGACGAAGGAAGAUGAAGCUAAUAUACUAUUGUCUGUGGCUUUAAAUAUCUUGGGUGGUAUCGUCCUACUACCGGUUGUGCCAAGUAUAAUCCUCAAUUCAAUUUGAUAGAAAAGAUUUUGAAGAUUUGACUGACAGUCACAGCUACAUUCAAUUACCUUUGAAUUUCAACAUUCACUGUACAAAUCAGAUUCUCCAUGUGGCCUUGACUUCAAAGCUAGGAUUCACUUUUGUGCUUCUAAUAUGAUGUCAAAGGAACUUUCCAAGAGGUUAGCUUUAAGGCUGCAAUUCAUCAUUUUGGGAUCCAUUCUCAUGCUCCUCAUAUAAGGAAAUCAUACAAUUCUCUAAUAAAAGUACCACAAAGCCCUAAUUUUGUUACUGGGUACAGAAAUAAGUUUCUUCACAAGGCCAACUGUUAGGAUAUUGGGAAUAAAGGUGUUCAAUCUUCAAAACUUUAUAAUCUUUGAUGUUGGCAGGUGUUUAAUCUUUAAUUCCCUUCUUUUUGUCAUAUUUUGGUCCCGGCUGAUCUUUUCCUUUACAUCAUUCCUUACUUUUGGAUUGCAAGCAGUAAGAAAAAACAUAUGAACAAGUGGUUGUAACUUUGUUUUUUUGUACUUUACAUGUUUCUUACCUAAACCCAUAAAAUUAAACAAUGCUUUUGUCUCUAAACUACAGGAAGAUAGUCGCAAUCUCUUUUCUAAAGAAAAAACAGUUGGAAGGAAAAAUGGAAUUCUGAUGCUAUAAAAACAAAUUAAAGUUAAAAGUGGAGUCUAAGUAGUUUAUUUGACUCGACAAAAGCAGGGCUGCUUAUUGGUCCGUAGGACCGGCAGGGCAGUUUUUCUUAAGCAGGUUGAUUAUAGCAGCAACCAGGAGUAGUUUGCUUAUGGGAAAGCGAUGAUAACAUAGCCUUCAACAUUUGAUCACAUCAUGGCACCUUCUUUUGUCCAACCAACUUUGUCCAUGUUGUGUUUCUGAUGACUAUUUACCUUUAAAGUUCAGAUUAUAAAUUAUAAGUUUAUAUAUAUAAUAUAAUAUAGCUUUAAAUAUUCACUCUGUCAAUUGUCGUAUUCGUUUGUUGAAAUUUCCAAAAUACCCCCAAAGCUCUAUUUCGACACAUAAAUAUGAAUUACCGUUAAGCUUAUUGUUAUUGCCUUAGCUAUCUUUUAGCUAGAAUAGAACGCAUGAAACUGCAACUGGUCGAGCAACCCGUCCAAAAAACAAGUGCAUGGUGCCCACAGGUGUAAAGAUCAUAUCAUGCAAUCACCUUGGGACAAAUAACUGCCGCAAGAAGACCACUUGGUCUUAACAGGUUUGUGGUUAGCCCUCUACUUUCACUAUUUUUUCCUUUCUAAUAGAUUGUAUUUUAAAGCAACAUCUUAUAACAAAUAAUGUAACAAAAGUAAGUUACUAUUUCCUUGAUGACUUGGAUUACUUACUUUAUUGUUUAUGUACUGCAUUAUAUGAUAUUAUAGAUUUUUUUUCUUACAUUUGAACAUAAGUAAGUACCCAAUACCACAGGUAUGCGUAAAAAGAGUCGGAUUAAAAGUAAAUACCAUAUGUUUGUAUUUUAAUGUUUUAAAUUAUGUAAAUUUUUGUAACUAUGGAACUGGAAUGUAUCGUUAUACUUAAAAAAGAAGUUUUAGAAAUUUUAUCACAUCCAAAUUUUUUUUGGUUAAAAUCAAAUGCAAAGUUUUUUUUGUCCAUCUCCAAAUCGAUCUGUCACGACGGAGCCGCAGUCGGAAAUCGGAGGAAAAGAACCGAAGAAAAUGAGAGAUUCAAUUUAGGGCAUGAAAUCGGUGAAGGAAUGAAGAUAAUUGAAGUCGAUGCAAUUUAUUGAGACGUUAGUAUGUCUUUGAUGGAAAGCAAAGGGCUCGCCGAUGAAUCUAGAUCAACUGGUAUGUUUGUUAAACGGAUGAGACGGUGGGUGGUGACAUGAAUGUUUUUUUUUUAAAUAUAGCGUUGUACUUCUUUUGGUAGCAUGAUCUAUCAUUAUAUUUCCAUUUAUCCGAUUGAUGGAAAAUUAGACAGAAUAGCAACAUAUUUUAAUUUGGAUACCAAAUUAUGCAAUGCACUUCAUUAUUUGUCUCACAAAAUGAACACAUUCCGCCCCGCGCAACGCGCGGGUAUCCUCUCUAGUUUAAAAUAUAACUGACCAUUGUUAUGUUUUUAACUUUUUAUGUAAUGGAUCUUUUUUUUUUGUAUUA